Molecule: microRNA precursor, 90 nt
Filed under: Marmota monax (woodchuck)
Lineage: Eukaryota; Metazoa; Chordata; Mammalia; Rodentia; Sciuridae
Source: RNAcentral
CAUUUGUUCUUCCUCUCUAAUCCUUGAUAAUUGUUGCUAGUGCUUUUUACAUGCAGUGCACCUGGACAGAGAUUUAGAGCAAGAUGAGCU